RNAcentral lists this ribosomal RNA (497 nucleotides) under uncultured bacterium. RNAcentral's name for it is "partial 16S ribosomal RNA". It matches the Rfam family "Bacterial small subunit ribosomal RNA", at positions 28 to 507 of the family's 1533-position model. The record is from RNAcentral.
GAUGAACGCUGGCGGCGUGCCUAAUACAUGCAAGUCGAGCGAACGGACGAGAAGCUUGCUUCUCUGAUGUUAGCGGCGGACGGGUGAGUAACACGUGGAUAACCUACCUAUAAGACUGGGAUAACUUCGGGAAACCGGAGCUAAUACCGGAUAAUAUUUUGAACCGCAUGGUUCAAAAGUGAAAGACGGUCUUGCUGUCACUUAUAGAUGGAUCCGCGCUGCAUUAGCUAGUUGGUAAGGUAACGGCUUACCAAGGCAACGAUGCAUAGCCGACCUGAGAGGGUGAUCGGCCACCCUGGAACUGAGACACGGUCCAGACUCCUACGGGAGGCAGCAGUAGGGAAUCUUCCGCAAUGAGCGAAAGCCUAACGGAGCAACGCCGCGUGAGUGAUGAAGGUCUUCGGAUCGUAAGACUCUGUUAUUAGGGAAGAACAUAUGUGUAAGUAACUGUGCACAUCUUGACGGUACCUAAUCAGAAAGCCACGGCUAACUACGUG